UUGAUAGUUUUUAUACGACCGCAAAUUUUGAAAAAAUUUUCGUCGUAUAUUGCUAUCACGUUGGCGUCGGCGUCGUCGUCGGCGUCGUCGUCGUCGUCGUCGUCGUCCGGCGUCCGAAUACUUUUAGUUUUCGCACUCUAACUUUAGUAAAAGUGAAUGGAAAUCUAUGAAAUUUUAACACAAGGUUUAUGACCACAAAAGGAAGGUUGUAUUGAUUUUGGGAGUUUUGGUCCCAACAUUUUAGGAAUUAGGGGCCAAAAAGGGCCCAAAUAAGCAUUUUCUUGGUUUUCGCACUAUAACUUUAGUUUAAGUUAAUAGAAAUCUAUGAAAUUUUGACACAAGGUUUAUGACCACAAAAGAACGGUUGGGAUUGAUUUUGGGAGUUUUGGUCUCAACAGUUUAGGAAUUAGGGGCCAAAAAAGGGCCCAAAUAAGCAUUAUUCUUGGUUUUCGCAC
This 455-nucleotide long non-coding RNA is filed under the name Mytilus galloprovincialis (Mediterranean mussel). The record is from RNAcentral. Lineage: Eukaryota; Metazoa; Mollusca; Bivalvia; Mytilida; Mytilidae.